UACGAAGGGUGCAAGCGUUACUCGGAAUUACUGGGCGUAAAGCGUGCGUAGGCGGUUUGUUAAGUCUGUCGUGAAAGCCCCGGGCUCAACCUGGGAAUGGCGAUGGAAACUGGCGAGCUAGAGUACGGCAGAGGGGGGUGGAAUUCCACGUGUAGCAGUGAAAUGCGUAGAGAUGUGGAGGAACACCGAUGGCGAAGGCAGCCCCCUGGGUCAACACUGACGCUCAUGCACGAAAGCGUGGGGAGCAAACAGG
Molecule: ribosomal RNA, 253 nt
Filed under: uncultured bacterium
Lineage: Bacteria
Description: partial 16S ribosomal RNA
Rfam family: Bacterial small subunit ribosomal RNA
Source: RNAcentral